This 253-nucleotide ribosomal RNA is filed under the name uncultured bacterium. Its description in RNAcentral is "partial 16S ribosomal RNA". It matches the Rfam family "Bacterial small subunit ribosomal RNA", at positions 524 to 776 of the family's 1533-position model. The record is from RNAcentral.
UACGAAGGGGGCUAGCGUUGUUCGGAAUUACUGGGCGUAAAGCGCACGUAGGCGGCUUGGUAUGUCGGGUGUGAAAUCCCCGGGCUUAACCUGGGAACUGCAUCCGAGACUGCAUAGCUAGAGUAUGGGAGAGGGAAGUGGAAUUUCAGGUGUAGCGGUGAAAUGCGUAGAUAUCUGAAGGAACAUCAGUGGCGAAAGCGACUUCCUGGACCAAUACUGACGCUCAUGUGCGAAAGCGUGGGGAGCAAACAGG